CUUGUGCCCCUGCUUCCGGCCUGAGGGCUCUGGGCGUUAAUUUGGGGUGUUUUAUCAGCGUUGGAUGGAGGCAGGAGGGCAGUUCCCCGCUGUAGCUACCUCUGCCUCAAACUCUUCAAUUGAGUUUGGCGGUUGAAUCUUUAGGGACGACGAAGUGGCAGGGUGUUCGGUCCCUGUCAUGGAUGAAGGUGGUUCCCGCAUCCGCCGGCGGGUGUCUGUCCGCAAAAGGACCCGUCCUAGCAUUUUUGCCGCCCCUACCGCGGCGGAGCUCAAGUCGGACGAUGAGGAGGAGGAGGAAGAGAUGGUGGCCGAGUGCCGGAGGCGGAAAACCGUGGGGGUGCAACCGAUCGAGCAUUAUGAUAGUGAAGAGGACAUGUUUGGUGACUAUGACAGCUUUGCCGAGAACUCCUUUUUAGCUCAAGUUGAUGACCUGGAACAAAAGUAUAUGCAGCUUCCUGAACAUAGGAAACACGCUACAGACUUGGCCACUGCAGGUCUUUGUUCAGAAAGUGAUGAAAACAAACUCAGCAUUCCCACUGUGUUUCCUGAAUCAAAAACUGAUGAGCACGCAAAGAACCAGAGUGGACCUGAAGAUGUCCCUGUUGAACAUGGACCUGAUCUGCCUUCCUCACAGGUUUUAUACUUUGAAAAUUUGCAGAACUCAUCAAAUGAUUUGGGUAAUCCGUCUAUUGAAGAAAAGGAGCAGAACUCAUUCUCUCACAAGACUGGAGAUGAAGAAUUGUCCCUUAAUCACAUAGAGCAACCCCAGCAAGACAAUGACUUCUCUCCUAAAGUCAGAACGAGUUCAGAUACAAAUAGGAGAAAAAGUGUUAAGGAUCAUCUCAAAAGUGCCAUGACUGGAAAUGCCAAGGCCCAAACACCAGUAUUUUCCAGGAGUAAGCAGCUGAAAGAGACUCUCCUAUCUGAAGAAAUUAAUGUUGCCAAGAAAACAAUUGAGUCAUCGUCAGAUGACCUUGGUCCUUUCUAUUCAUUGCCCAGCAAAGUUCGAGACCUUUAUGUUCGAGUCAAAGGAAUUGAAAAAUUAUAUGAAUGGCAGCAUACUUGCUUAACACUGAAUUCUGUGCAAGAGAGAAAAAAUUUAAUAUACUCCUUGCCAACAAGUGGUGGGAAAACCCUGGUGGCUGAGAUUUUAAUGCUACAAGAACUGCUUUGCCGGCGGAACGAUGUUUUAAUGAUCCUUCCUUACGUGGCAAUUGUCCAAGAAAAGAUAACAGGCCUGUCAAGCUUUGGUAUAGAACUUGGUUUCUUUGUUGAAGAAUAUGCUGGAAGCAAAGGAAGAUUUCCUCCAAUAAAAAGACGGGAAAAGAAAUCACUGUAUGUUGCCACUAUCGAGAAGGGGCAUAGCCUGGUGAACUCCCUGAUUGAAACAGGGAGGAUUAGCAGUCUGGGUCUGGUGGUUGUCGAUGAGCUGCACAUGAUUGGUGAAGGAAGCCGUGGGGCUAUACUGGAAAUGACCCUAGCAAAAAUCCUCUACACUAGCAAGACAACUCAAAUUAUUGGUAUGAGUGCAACACUAAGCAAUGUUGAAGACCUACAAGAGUUUCUUCAAGCAGAAUAUUAUACCAGUCAAUUUAGACCAGUUGAACUGAAAGAAUAUCUAAAACUAAAUGAUAGAAUAUAUGAGGUUGACAGCAAGGCUGAGAAUGGCAUGACUUUUUCACGUGUCCUGAAUUAUAAGUACUCUGAUACUCUGAAAAAGAUGGAUCCUGAUCAUUUGGUAGCAUUAGUGACAGAAGUUAUUCCCAGUUAUUCCUGCUUAGUUUUUUGUCCUACUAAGAAGAAUUGUGAAAACGUAGCAGAAAUGAUAUGCAAAUUCUUAAGCAAGGAAUAUCUGAAGCACAGGGAGAAAGAAAAAGAUGAGGUGAUUAAGAACCUGAAGAGCAUCAGCAGUGGCACACUGUGUCCUGUUUUAAAGCACACUAUCCCUUUUGGAGUGGCCUACCACCACAGUGGUUUAACCAGCGAGGAACGGAGGCUUCUGGAGGAGGCCUAUUCCUCAGGCGUCCUCUGUCUGUUUACCUGCACAUCUACCCUAGCAGCAGGGGUCAACCUGCCAGCUCGAAGAGUUAUUUUAAGAGCUCCCUAUGUUGCUAAGGAGUUUUUAAAGAGAAAUCAAUAUAAACAGAUGAUUGGCAGAGCUGGCCGCGCUGGAAUAGAUACUAUUGGAGAGAGUAUCCUUAUCUUGCAAGAAAAAGACAAGCAACAGGUAUCUGAGUUAAUAAGCAGACCACCGGAAAACUGUUACAGCCAUCUUGUUCAGGAAUUCACCAAGGGAAUACAGUCUUUGUUUCUGUCUUUGAUUGGCUUGAAGAUUGCAACAAAUCUUGGUGACAUUCAUCACUUUAUGAAUGGUACAUUUUUUGGUGUUCAACAAAAGAUUUUAUUGAAAGAAAAGAGUCUCUGGGAAGUAACUGUCGAGUCACUGAGACACCUGACAGAGAAAGGACUGCUACAGAAAGACACUGUUAAUAACUCUGAUGAAGAGUGCCGAUGUGAUUUUCACAUUACGAAACUGGGACGAGCUUCUUUUAAGGGAACUAUAGAUUUAGCUUAUUGUGACAUUCUCUACAGAGACUUGAAGAAAGGUCUUGAAGGCCUUGUGCUGGAAAGCUUUCUCCAUCUCAUCUACCUAACAACUCCCUAUGACCUGGUUCCCCAGUAUGACCCAGACUGGAUGGUAUACUUCAGGCAGUUUAGCCAACUCAGUCCCGCAGAACAAAGCGUAGCUUCUCGUCUUGGAGUCUCUGAAAGCUUUAUUGGGAAGAAGGCAUCAGGUCAAGCCAUCAGAAAGAAGGUGGACAAGAACAUUGUCAACCGACUGUAUUUGUCUUUUGUUCUUUAUACCCUGCUCAAAGAGACCAACGUUUGGAGUGUGUCUGAAAAAUUUAACAUGCCUCGAGGAUACAUACAAAAUCUUCUCUCCGGAGCUGCCUCAUUCUCAUCUUGUGUGUUACAUUUCUGUGAGGAACUUGAGGAGUUUUGGGUUUACCGAGCCCUGUUGGUGGAACUUAUCAAGAAGCUAACGUACUGUGUAAAGGCCGAGCUGAUUCCUCUCAUGGAAGUGACCGGAGUUCAGGAGGGUCGAGCAAAACAAUUGUACAAUGCAGGUUACAAAAGCCUAACGCACUUAGCUAAUGCAGAUCCGGAAGUGCUAAUAAGGACAAUUGACCAUUUAUCAAGACGCCAGGCCAAGCAGAUUGUUUCCUCAGCAAAGGUGUGGCUGUGGCCCACUGGACGCCAAGGCUGGCAAGUGGAAAUCCCCCUGAGGUGCUGACCAAGCUGCAAGGAAGCUGCCUGGAGUGUACUGUUGCACUUGCUUGGAAGCCCUCUCAAAUGCCCAUGGAACUCCCUAGGAAACUGUCCCCAGGGGUCCUGUUGAAACUCACUGGAAUGAAUGCCACUCUCUGUCCAUCACUGCAACCAAGCACUGUAGGAACAAUAAGAAAAAGACACACACCAAAAACAGAUGCUGUUACAAGAAAAAGCAGAGGCAUUGCAGGAAGAAGUAGAAGAGUUACUGAGGUUGCCUCCUGAUUUCCCUGGCACCAUGGCUGCCUCCAUUGAAAAGGCAUGAAGCUAUCUGAUGAUUUCAAAAAUGAAUUAUUUAUUCUCCAUAUAUUUUAUUAAAGAUUCUCUAUACUUAUAAAAGAAAAAUAUAUUUUAAUUAUACAUCAUA
This is a non-coding RNA of Oryctolagus cuniculus (rabbit), 3697 nucleotides long. NCBI's taxonomy places the organism in Eukaryota, Metazoa, Chordata, Mammalia, Lagomorpha, Leporidae. The record is from RefSeq and is a predicted model, not a curated record.